Molecule: ribosomal RNA, 465 nt
Filed under: Vreelandella stevensii
Lineage: Bacteria; Pseudomonadati; Pseudomonadota; Gammaproteobacteria; Oceanospirillales; Halomonadaceae
Description: partial 16S ribosomal RNA
Rfam family: Bacterial small subunit ribosomal RNA
Source: RNAcentral
CCUACGGGCGGCAGCAGUGGGGAAUAUUGGACAAUGGGGGCAACCCUGAUCCAGCCAUGCCGCGUGUGUGAAGAGGGCCCUCGGGUUGUAAAGCACUUUCAGUGAGGAAGAACGCCUGGUGGUUAAUACCCAUCAGGAAAGACAUCACUCACAGAAGAAGCACCGGCUAACUCCGUGCCAGCAGCCGCGGUAAUACGGAGGGUGCGAGCGUUAAUCGGAAUUACUGGGCGUAAAGCGCGCGUAGGUGGCUUGAUAAGCCGGUUGUGAAAGCCCCGGGCUCAACCUGGGAACGGCAUCCGGAACUGUCAAGCUAGAGUGCAGGAGAGGAAGGUAGAAUUCCCGGUGUAGCGGUGAAAUGCGUAGAGAUCGGGAGGAAUACCAGUGGCGAAGGCGGCCUUCUGGACUGACACUGACACUGAGGUGCGAAAGCGUGGGUAGCAAACAGGAUUAGAUACCCCAGUAGUC